Molecule: ribosomal RNA, 778 nt
Filed under: uncultured Neocallimastigales
Lineage: Eukaryota; Fungi; Neocallimastigomycota; Neocallimastigomycetes; Neocallimastigales
Description: partial large subunit ribosomal RNA
Rfam family: Eukaryotic large subunit ribosomal RNA
Source: RNAcentral
ACACGCAUGACACACUGCAUAUCAAUAAGCGGAGGAAAAGAAACUAACAAGGAUUCCCUUAGUAACGGCGAGUGAAGCGGGAAGAGCUCAAAUUUGAAAUCUUCAAGGUUCUACCUUGACGAAUUGUAGUUUAUAGAAGUGUUUUCUGUUAGUGGAGUGGCAAAAGUUCUUUGGAAUAGGACAUCAUAGAGGGUGAGAAUCCCGUAUUUGGUCAUUCCUCCUAGCGUUGUGAUACACUUUCAACGAGUCGGAUUGUUUGGGAAUGCAGUCCAAAAUGGGUGGUAAAUUUCAUCUAAAGCUAAAUAUUGGCGGAGAGACCGAUAGCGAACAAGUACCGUGAGGGAAUGAUGAAAAGAACUUUGAAAAGAGAGUUAAACAGGUACGUGAAAUUGUCAAAAGGGAAGCGUUUGACACCAGUGUUGUUUUUCCGAAAAUCAAUUACGAAUGUUUUGUUUUUGAGGAGUUAUGACUUCAUCGGCUUGCUCCUUUCUUUAUCGAAACUUUCUUAAUGCACUUUUCGGUUAACAAGUCAACAUCAAUUUCUUUUGUUGUAAAAGGGUAUGAGGAAGGUGGCUUUCUUUUCGGAGAAAGUGUUUAUAGCCUUGUACCUCUGCAAUCGGAGAGAUUGAGGUCUGCAGCGUAGAUCCUUCGGGGUUAGAUACAUUUGUGCUAAGUUAUAGCUUUUCAUAGACAACUUGCUGACUAUGUUUAGUCUUGUAGCUUACUCGCUUACUGCUAUUUUACCUACGCUUAGGAUGUUGACGAGACUGUCGAUCUC